UGGGGGAUAUUGCACAAUGGCGAAAGCCUGAUGCAGCGACGCCGCGUGGGGGAUGAAGGCUUUCGGGUUGUAAACCUCUUUCGCUAUCGAACAAGGCCCGCUUAGGGUGGGUUGAGGGUAGGUGGAGAAGAAGCGCCGGCUAGCUACGUGCCAGCAGCCGCGGUAAUACGUAGGGCGCGAGCGUUGUCCGGAAUUAUUGGGCGUAAAGGGCUUGUAGGCGGCUUGUUGCGCCUGCUGUGAAAACGCGGGGCUUAACUUCGCGCGUGCAGUGGGUACGGGCAGGCUUGAGUGUGGUAGGGGUGACUGGAAUUCCAGGUGUAGCGGUGGAAUGCGCAGAUAUCUGGAGGAACACCGAUGGCGAAGGCAGGUCACUGGGCCAUUACUGACGCUGAGGAGCGAAAGCAUGGGUAGCGAACAGG
RNAcentral lists this ribosomal RNA (419 nucleotides) under Fusobacteriota bacterium. RNAcentral describes it as "Fusobacteria bacterium partial 16S ribosomal RNA". It matches the Rfam family "Bacterial small subunit ribosomal RNA", at positions 355 to 776 of the family's 1533-position model. The record is from RNAcentral. Lineage: Bacteria; Fusobacteriati; Fusobacteriota.